RNAcentral lists this unclassified non-coding RNA (1599 nucleotides) under Leishmania donovani. RNAcentral describes it as "gene:LdHU3.36.4070(CDS-product:hypothetical_prote in_conserved)". The record is from RNAcentral. Lineage: Eukaryota; Euglenozoa; Kinetoplastea; Trypanosomatida; Trypanosomatidae.
ACGCACGGAUAUGUCCACCACGGCCACCUCCCACGACUGCCACCGCGCACCGUAUCACCAACAGCUGCAGAGCCACAUCGAAGCCCUUCUUCUUCUCUUUCUCCGCGACUUCUGCGCAGAGGGAGCGAGUCCAACCCGCAACGGCUACCGCGCCUCUCACCUUCAAGCCAUCGCCCAGACCUUCUAUGUGCUGCAGAUAGUUCGAUGCAGCACAGCCCCGCGGCGCGAGCAAGAGACACCUUACUCGCUCCUCCAGACAGGCGACGGCACAUCACGUCUCGACGUCUGCACGGAGCGUGACUUGUACUACCGCAACCCGCCACUCUUUGCGCCGCGAGGGCAGCGCGCGACCCACGAAAGUAUCAAGCGGCUAUGUGGCUGGCUCGAAGUUGUGGCGCGUGUGCCUCCUCAUCAGCAACGUGGAGAAGGACCUGUGCUGACCUCGCUCUUUCGAAGUCCUCGCUGCCUUCUGUCACGGCCGUGGAAGGGAGCCCAGGGCGCGGCGUCAAGGACGCCGCUCUACACGCGCGAGUCACUAGGCAUUACAGCCGCUGGCAAGAGUCUCUUGGCCGGCGCAAUCACGCUGGAGCUCUGUGAUCCAGUGGAACUGAUUGACGUGUCCGCGCGCGGCUCUGCGGGCAUCACGCUGACGUACUCCCUCGCGACCCGUAUGGUGGGGUGUCGAGAGGCUGGUGUCUGGCAAGCAGCACGUGACGGCAUAUCAUCGAGCCGGCCGUAUAAGCUCGUCCUGAUUGAGAAGGAGAGUGUUCAUCAUGCUGUACUGCAGUCCAUGACGAAGAGCGGCACUCCGCACACGUACUCGUGCAUCCUUCUGUGCACAAAAGGAUAUCCGUGCGUCGCCGCUCGGGAGUGGCUGCGUCGUGUUCAUGCCCUGCGGCCUGCCCUGCAGCUCUACAUCAUGGUUGACGGGGACCCGGAUGGCCUGGGUAUCGCCCUGACAGUCAUGGGGCUGCUUGGCUCGAAAGGAUACCCGUCGCCUAUUGCGUCCUCGCAGCCCAAGCCUACCUUGUCUUCCUUUUCUCCCCUCUCUGGUGCCACGCCUGCAUCUGCAGAGACAGCGAAGGUAAAGGAGCUGCUUCCGCUCCGCUUCCUCGGUGUGUGCCCUUCCCUCGUGUGGAGUUGCAAUUUUCAAAGCGAGGCGCCUCUCAGCGCCGGCUUCCUCGGUGGCCUCGCCUCCUCACAAGGCAUUCCCCUUACAAUGCAUGAUGUGCAGGUACUAAAGCGGGUCGUUUCAAUCGUGCAGGGCGCGUUGGCAUCAGCACCAGAGGCGUCAGACAGCGCUACGUCGCUCAGAGGGUGCGACACGGCCAUCGUACGCCACACCCUUCAGCGCGUACUGAAGGAGGCGGAAUGGAUGCAGCGAGCCCGGAUCAAGUGCGAGCUUCAAUUCGCCUGCGGACCCAUCGGCCCACUGACAUUCAUGGAGCAGCACGUGCAGCGGUGCGAUGCGGAGUUGAGUGAAGGAUUCUGAGUCCCCUUUUUUGUGUGUCCGCGUUUGUUUGCGUGCAAUCGCGUUCUGCUACGGUCUACUGCUGCAUUUUUGUUUUGUAUUCAGCUUCUGCCAUCCCACGAACCGGA